Molecule: long non-coding RNA, 18417 nt
Filed under: Brassica rapa (field mustard)
Lineage: Eukaryota; Viridiplantae; Streptophyta; Magnoliopsida; Brassicales; Brassicaceae
Description: long non-coding RNA (BRAP_LNC007446)
Source: RNAcentral
GCCACUAGACCAACAUGCUUCCAAACAUUUUGAAAAACUUUGAAUAUUUUUCAAGCAGGCAAUAUGUUUUGUUUGUGCUUUCUUGUUGUGACCUGCUUGUGUGUGUAUAUAGUAUCACAUUGCUUGGAGAAGAUGCUUGUAUGUUUUUCUUUUUUUUUCUUUUUUUUCGUAUUUCAGCAUGAAGGGGUGCUAACACCUGUACUCAGCGCUAUUAUAGUAUUACUAGGUUAAGCUGUGAUCAUGUUGCUAACCGACUGGUUUUUUCGUUAUUGGCAAGCAGACUGUCUUUGCUUUUCCUUAAGCGGCUAAUCUGUUUUGGCCUUUUAUGAAUCCUUUGUAUAUGGAAUUCUUAGGGUUUUGGUUUGAGGAAAUGACAUUGGUCGUGUUUGGUAUGAAAUUCGGUUUGUUAUUUUAUUUAUUAACUUGGUUCGAUUUUAUUUUCAAAUUCCCAUUUAAAAAGAAUUUUUUUUACAUUUCGGUUAUUGCCAGAUUUGCUCUUAAUUAUUUUAGUUUGUUGGUUUAACCAAUAUAAAAUAACCAAAAAUAUAGCCAAUAAUGAAUGUUUUGCGGAUCAGUUUUUCCAUCCAAACUAAAUUUAAGUUGUCCACAUAAAAUUAUGGUUCGGUUUCGCUUAGUUUAAUGGUCAGGCCCUAAACCAUGGAGUCUCCACUUUUUUUUUCAAGAUUUUUUUAAUGGAUUUUUUUUUGGUGUGGUUUUUAAUGAAAGAAGUCUUCAUCAUGGUUUCCAAACUAAACCAUGCUUGAUCGGUUUCCUUGAUCAAGCUUGAGGGGGAGUGUUGAGAUGAUAUGUACUUGUUGAGAGAAAUGCAGUGAAAUGUAUAAAGUGCAGCGUGGUGCAAUGAAGUGUAAGAAAAGAGAAACAUAUCAGGACAUGUUGGCAUAAACUCUCAAAUUCAACUAUCGAAUAAAAUCUCAUCGAAACCUGCAAAAAGUUAUUUAAUUUUGUUAGCAAUUGUACGAUAUCAAAUAAUUUAAUAUAAAAAUAAUUGGCUUUUAUUUUUUUUUUCUUAGUAGAGUCGUUAUUUCACUUUUAAAUGACUUUGUCUGUUUAUAUAGUAUGAAAAAUGACUUUGUCUGUUAAUAUGGUAUAAAAAUAAUUAUGGUAUUAUUAUUUUAUCAGCAAAAGUUUUGUUCUUUCCCUGUGCAUUUUAUAUAAAGAUUCAAAAAAUUCAUGAAAAUUUAUAUGAAUUGGUUCCUAUCAAAUUUAAUUAUAUUUCUUUAAAAUCUAAAAUGAAAGAAUUAGACAAAUACAUUAAAAUCAUCAUCAAAUCAUUUGAAAUACUUCAAAAUCUAUCAUUUAUGUCUUCAAUUGAAUUCUUUCAAAGUCAAUUAAAUUCUUGAAUCCAAUAUCAACUCCUAAAAGUUUCCUUUUUAAAAAAAAAUUAAGAUAGCAAAAAAAAGUAAAGUUAUGAUUGUUAUAUUCAAACUAGAAUUAGUAAUAAAAAACAAAUUUACCUUUUAUCUUCCUCUACGCAUUCCUUCCAAGUCUCAUCGCCACUAGACAACAUGCUUCCAAACAUUUUGAAAAACUUUGAAUAUUUUCCAAGCAGGCAAUAUGUUUAUUUGUGCUUUCUUGUUGUGACCUGCUUGUGUGUGUCUAUAUAGUAUCACAUUGCUUGGAGAAGAUGCUUGUAUGUUUUUCUUUUUUUUUCUUUUUUUUCUUCGUAUUUUAGCAUGACAUGGUGCUAACACCUGUACUCAGCUAUUAUAGUAUUAUGUUGUUUUUGCUAUAAUGUUACACUAAAUAAAAUUGAUAUUGUAGCAACGUGAUAUAUUUAAGCAGUUUAAUUAAAUAUAUUAUCUUUAUAAAAUUAUAAAUAAAUUGUAUUGUUACAUAGUCAUGAUAUUAGAUUGACUUAUCAUAAUUUUUAUGUGCUUUCUAAAUUGAUUUUAAAUGCAUAUAAGAAAAUAAUUUUGAAAAUUAUAAGAUAAACUGACAUGAUAAUAUAAUGGCCCAGAAAUUAUUUUCAGUUCCACCAAAGUAAUUAUAAUACGAGGUAUAAUAUUUUUGAUCAUUUGGUGACAUUUGAUUCCUUGAACUUGUUCUCUUCGAGAUGCUUCUCCUUCAGUUUGAUAUUAAGAUGUUUGAUAUUACAUGAUAUAAUGACAAUUUGUAUUAUAAUGCAUAAUAUGAUCUAAGAGGAUGAAUGUGAUAACAAUGCAACAAUAAGAACGAGUUGAAGUUUCAAGUGUAGAAGUUGAGAUGAUAAGUGUUGAUUCAUGAUGUUUGAUUUUAAGAAUUCCGACAAAAAAAGAGUGAGAAGCUCAUUUUGAAUUUCGAAAUGCAUUAAUCAAACAUUUAUGGGGUGAAUAUAUUAAUUCAAAUAAUUAGUAAAAGAUGUAUGUAUUAUUUUAGAUGUAAUGUAUUUUUGUUUAUAUGUUUUUAGUUAUUUUAAUUUCAUAUGUAUUUCAAAAUUAUUAUUAUACUGUGAUACAAAUAUAUUAAUUGUUGGGGAAUUGCCACUAAUACCACUUUCCUAAUACCACUUUUCAACUUUACACUUUUCAAAUUUACCUUUAAAAUUUUAGUAGGUAAAGUACCAUUAUACCCUUAUUUAAUCAAACAUAAACAUAAGUCUUCUCCCACAAGAAAUUGAAAAUUCAAAAACCCCUAAUCGAGAGAUUGAUUCCGGCGAUCGAGAGAUUCCAACGAGAGAUCGAUUCCGGCGAGAGAGAUCGAUUCCUUCGAGAGAGAUCGAUUCCGGCGAGAGAGAUCGAUUCCGGCGAGAGAGAUUCGAUCCGUCGAGAGAGUUUCGACGACUUCAGCCAUUUUCACCGGCGAGAUUUGAUUAUUCAGGCGACAUUGACGUCCGACGAGAUUUGGCGUAGACUACAAGCUCAAUCGAAUCAAUCUCUCUUCACGAACGUAACAAAGUGAUUUUCGUCUCUUUUCUGUAAUUUUUGCUUGGUUUCUCAAAAUCGAUCGGUUUCUGGGAAGGAGACGAAUUUUUCUCAUGAAGUUUUCGAAUCUCAGAUUUAUAAAACCUUAUAAAUUUUUAGCUAUGAGGAAUAUAGUUUUAUGUAUUUUUCUUAUUGAUAUAUCUUGUUGAUCAUUCCUUCUCUAAUACCCAUGUUCUUUAUAAUCAGGUUAUGGUGUUCGAAAUUUGUUCUAUAUGUGGAGAAUGGAAACUAAUAAAUGGAAUUCACUGGGAUUUCAUAGUGGAUGAUCAACGAGGAUCCUCUCUUAGUAUGAUUCAUGAAGAUAUCAGCUACAAUGAUUUGAUUGUGGCUGUUUUAGAAGAUUUUGGAAUUGAUGGCAACAGAAACAGUGUAAAUCUUAGCUAUGCCUCACCUUCAAAAUUAAACUUUGGUACAAAAGAGCUUCCUCCAGCAUUUAUUAGGAAUGAUCGUCAAGUAACAUCUUAUCUGAGCAAACUUAAGGAGAAUGGAGACCUUCAUCUAUGUGUAACCAUUAAGGUAACUGCAUGAAACUCUUUUGCUAACUUGUUUGUUUAUUAGAGUUAUCAUUUAUUUUAUAAGGUAGUAUGUAGUAGUAGUGAUUUGCUCAUUGCUUGAAGAAGUUUGCCAUAGCAGUAUCUAUUACAACUUUUACAUUUAUAAGACCUUAUAAUAAUAGUUGUGCAUUUUGCAGGAUCAUUACCAAAUAUAUUUUAACUAUUAGCUUUUAUGUUUUUUUUUUAAUGUUUCAGAGAAGAACUCAAUUAUCACCAAUGAUUAUGUCAAAUAUGAUCCAGCCACGGGGUGGAAAUAGUAAUCAUGAUUUGCCUAUUGCUGGAACUAGUAAUCCGCGUGAGGUAUUUAUUACAACUCUCAUUUUUAUAAGGCCUUGUAAAUGAUUAUAUAUUUAGCUUUAUCUUUUUAUGUUUCAUUACAAGAUUCAUUACUAGCUUUAUGUUUUUAUGUUUCAGACAGGAACACAAAAAUCACCAUUGAUUAUGUCAAACAUGAUUCAGACACAAGAUGAAAUUUCUAGUACUCAUGAUUCGCCUAUUGCUGGAAGUAGUAAUGUAUUUGAGGUACUUUUCAAAACUCUUACCUUAACAUUCAUAAUUAUAAUGUCUUAUAAAGGUAAUAAAUACAUGUUUAAUUUUCUAGAGAGGAACAAAAACACACGCGGAGACUGAAUGGAACAGCAUUCAGAGAGUUGACGAAGUCUCUGGUAUACAACAUACUUGUAUUAGCGACAGUCUUAUUUCUCCUUCAAGUGGUCUUGUUAGCAAUAAGGUACAUAUAACUUUUUCCUCUGUCAAAUAUAAAUAUAUGAGAGUUUAAUCAAUGUCUUAUAAUGGGUUAUAAAUUCUAUUUUUAAUGUAUAUGUUUCAUGUUUUUAUCUUAGAGAGGAUUGGACUCGAUUGGACUUGCUGUAUAUGGGUCUGGAAAGUCAAAAUUGCCAUCUUUCUCCAGUAGACGUGGUAGAGAAAGCAUGGGAGAAGAUAUCUUGUCUCCCAGUUGUGGUGAUGAUGAUGAUUUGUUCUGCGGGAAGUUUUUCAAGGAUAAAAAGGAAAUGAGCACAAAGUUGAGGUUGCAUGCAGUUAGUAAAAGCUUUGAGUUCCACACAGAAUAUUCAGACAAAACACGUUAUGUUCUUAGUUGUGUGGAUGAAAGAUGCAGUUGGAGUUUUCGUGCAAAAUCAGUUAAAGGAUCUCAGAGUUUUUUUGUUCGUCAUUAUGUAUCUAAACAUACUUGUGACACUUCUCUGAGAACUGUUAGUCAUCGGCAAGCUACUGCAAAAUUGUUGGGAACUAUGGUCAGCAAUCAUUAUGAAGGAGGAAAGAUUGGGCUGAAACCUAAACAGAUCAUGGAAAAAGCUAGAAAUGAUCAUGGUGUUGUGAUUACAUAUUCAAAGGCUUGGAGGUCUCAAGAGCACGGCCAAGAUAUAGCUAGGGGUACUCCUGAUGACAGUUAUGAAGCUUUGCCCAGUUGGUUUCACAUGAUAAAAGAAAAGAAUCCAGGUUCUGUGACUUUUAUCGAAGUUGAUGCUGUUGGGAAAUUCAAAUACGCAUUUUUGUCGCUUGGUCCAUCUAUCAGAGGGUUUAAGUUGAUGAGGAAGGUACUUUCUGUUGAUGGUGCCCAUCUGAAAUCAAAGUAUAAAGGGACUCUACUUGCUGCCACAGCACAAGAUGGUAAUUUUCACUUGUAUCCUAUAGCUUUUGCUAUAGUUGAUUCUGAGAAUGAAGCCUCAUGGAGUUGGUUUAUGAAAUGUCUGAAAACCAUCAUUCCUGAUGAAGAGGAUUUGGUUUUUGUCUCUGAUCGUGCGGCCUCUAUUGAAAAAGCUCUUUUACAACAUUAUCCUGUUGCUCACCAUGGAAUCUGCAUCUUUCACUUUCAAAAGAAUGUCCAGGACAAUUUCAAAAGUUCAACACUUGUCCCUUUGGUUGUUGAAGCUGGUUAUGCCUACACCAAAGCUGAUUUCGAUUGCUAUUUUCAAGAGAUUGAGGAGUCCGACAUUGUAUUAGCAGAUUAUCUUCGUAAAGCAGACUUCAGGAAGUGGACCCGAGCUUAUUCUCCUGCUAAUCGCUUCAACAUCAUGACGUCAAACUUGGCCGAAUCUAUAAAUUCUUUGCUGAAAGUGAGUCGUGAGUAUCCAAUUGUCUGUCUUUUUGACACUAUUAGGAUGAUAAUGACUAAGUGGUUCACUGAACGACGUGAGGAAGGAGUUCGUCACAUGCACCCUGUCACUGUCGAAGUGGGGAACAAGAUGAAGGAGCUAUAUGAUUUUACGUCUCGCUUCCUUGAAGUUUCCAAAAUCAAUGAUUCAGAGUUUGAGGUUAAGGGAGAUACAAGAGAUCAAGUGGUGAAUUUUCAAACAAGGCAUUGUUCAUGUUUUGUGUUUGAUAUUGAGAAGUUUCCUUGUGCUCAUGCAAUUGCCGCUGCAAAAUCUGGGAAUAAGCACGAAAAUGAUUAUGUCGAUGAGUUUUUCUCCAAUGAAAGGUCCGUUCUCUCAGCCAUUGUGGUAAUACAUCAGCACGUUUAUAUAUGUUUACAAAAUUGAUCAAAUUUAUAAGGUUUUAUAAAUAUUGUUCUACAACACUUCUUUUUCAUUUUUCUGUCUUUAUUGUACCUUUAUUUAAUUCUCUUAAUUUUCUUAUUAGGUUUACACUAGCAUAUUCAGAGAGUGUAUAUCCUGUUGGUGAUAAAACAUAUUGGGAUAUUCCUCCCCAUGUAGCUUCGUUUGUUUGUCGCCCUCCAUCUACACGCUUUCCUAGUGGGAGGAGGAAAAAAAAGAGGAUACCAAGUUCGUGGGAGUAUGGAAAAUAUCGGCCCAUAUCUAAACCAUCACCCAAGGCUUACAAAUGCAGCAGAUGUGGACAGAAAGGACACAACAAAGGUAGUUGUGUAAGGCCUAUUUGAUAACAGAGUAGUAUAAAAACUUGUGUGCAAUUGAUUAUUUUAUAUGAUGUUAUAAGAGAGAAUUGGAAUCGAAUAGAUUUUGGGGAACCUUUUACUAUUACAUUUUAUCGUUUUAUAAUGAUUUAUAAAGUUUACAGGUGUCUAAUAGAAGUUAUGUUCCUUUUAUUUUUACAUCUAUCAUUUUAUAAUGCUUUAUAAAUUUUGCAGGUGUCUAAUAGAAGUUAUGUUAUUUAUUAUACGAAAUGUGUGGUUACAUAAACUACCCUUUAUAAAUCAUUAGGAUUCAGAUUAAUUGUAGAAAUUAUAUGUUCGUUUGAUAUCUUAGCUUACUUGCAUGAACAUAAAUAAAAUAUGUUUCCUUAGCAAAGGUUUAAGGUACAAACCAAAAUAUAUUUUCCUCAUCAUGAAGGAUUAAGGGACAAGCCAAAAGAUGUUCCUCAUUGAAGACAUCAUCAAAAGAUAACACACUAAAACUGAAAAAGUUCCAUAGAUAUUUGUUAAAAGUACUAAAAAACUGAAAGAGCUUCAUUUCUUCAAAUUCGCGAUGCUUCUAAUCGGCAUUUUUAAGAUCUUCCAAAACACUUCCUAUCACAUCAUCAGCUGAAUCUUUCUCAAAUUGUUUCUUUUGUUUUUUCGAUUUGGGGGUGCCAACAUUGUGUUCCUUUAUAAGCAUAACAAUUAAGAAAAUCAGAAAUGAUAAUUGGAUGUAGUCAAUGAAAUUUGAAAGAAUAUUUUAUAAACCAUUAUACAUAGAGAGAUAUUUACCUUAUUUCCUCUUCCAUUCUUCUUUGUAAACUUCACGUGCUUUUUAGAUGCAUCCUCAUUCCCUUCUCCAUCCUUCAAUUUUAAUGACACAAUAAGUAAAGUUACAUAGAGCAUAUUAAACAUUUAAAAAGUCAAUCAGUUUAUAAAGACUUAUAAAUCAGCUUACUUCAUUGGUUUCUGCAUGAUCUUCUACUUGUUGUUGUACUUCACGUGGGGGUGUUACACCUUUCUUCUUUCCCUUAUAUUACAAGACAAAUAAAUAACUUAGCAAUUUCGAUUUUAAUAACAGCCUUUGUAAAUCAGAAAUGAUAAUCAGAAAGAACAUUUUAUAAACUAUUAUACACAGAGAGAUAUUUACCUUAGUUACUCUUUCACUUUUCCUUGUAACCUUCACGGGCUUUUCAUAUGCAUACUCAUUUUCUUCUCCAUCCUUCAAUUUUGAUGACACAAUAAAAAAAGUUACAUAGAGUAUACUAAACAACAUUUUAUAAAGCAUUAUACACAGAGAGAUAUUCACCUUAGUUCCUCUUUUACUUUUCCUUGUACCCUUCAUGGGCUUUUCAGAUGCAUCCUCAUUUACUUCUCCACCCUUCAAUUUUGAUGACACAAUAAAAAAAGUUACAUUGAUUAUACUAAACAGCAUUUUAUAAACCCUUAUACACUGAGAGAUAUUCACCUUAGUUCCUCUUUUACUUUUCCUUGUACCCUUCAUGGGCUUUUCAGAUGCAUCCUCAUUUACUUCUCCACCCUUCAAUUUUGAUGACACAAUAAAAAAAGUUACAUUGAUUAUACUAAACAGCAUUUUAUAAAGCAUUAUACACAGAGAGAUAUUUACCUUAGUUACUCUUUCACUUUUCCUUGUAACCUUCACGGGCUUUUCAUAUGCAUCCUCAUUUUCUUCUCCAUCCUUCAAUUUUGAUGACACAAUAAAAAAAGUUACAUAGAUUAUACUAAACAACAUUUUAUAAACCCUUAUACACUGAGAGAUAUUUACCUUUCUUCCACGUUUCUUUGAACCUUUCACGGGGUUUUCAGAUCCAUUUUCCUUAGCACCGACGUCAACAUCUGUAUUGACUUCUGUGUCAUCCUCUUGUUGUUGCUCCUCUUCCUCUUGUUUCUGUUCCUAUUUCAAUUAAAGGAUUACAUAUUUAUAAUGAUUUAUAAAUUUAAAACGAUUGUUCAGUUUAUAAAGAUUUAUAAAUCAGCUUACUUCAUUGGUUUCCGGAUUUUCACUCUCUUUAUCACCGUCGUCCACAUCGUCUUCUGUAUCCUCUUCUUCUUGUUGUUCCUCUUCUUCUUGUGGCUGUUCCUAUUUAAAAAAAAAAAGAUUACAUAUUCUUAAUGAUUUAUAAUUCUAUAACGGUUUUCAAUUUAUAAAGGGUUAUAAAUAAGCUUACUUCAUUGACUUCUGCGUCAUCCUCUUGGUGUUGUUCCUCUUCCUCUUGUGUCUGUCCCUAUUUCAAUAAAAGGAUUACAUAUUUAUAAUGAUUUAUAAAUUUAAAACGAUUGUUCAGUUUUUAAAGAUUUAUAAAUCAGCUUACUUCAUUGGUUUCCGGAUUUUCACUCUCUUUAUCACCAUCGUCCACAUCGUCUUCUGUAUCAUCUUCUUGUUGUUGUUCCUCUUCUUCUUGUGGUUGUUCCUAUUUUAAAAAAAAAUUACAUAUUUUUAAUGAUUUAUAAUUCUAUAACGGUUUUCAAUUUAUAAAGUGUUAUAAAUAAGCUUACUUCAUUGACUUCGACUUCUACAUCAUCUUCAUCUUGAUGUCCUACUUCACGUGGAGGUCUUACACCAUUCUUCUUUCUCUAAUAUUACAAGAAAAAAAACUAGCUUAGCAAUUUCGAAUUUAAUAACAACAUUAUAAAAUAUCAAAAAUAAAAUAACCUUAGCGAUUUCCUUUCUUUUGGCAUCUAUAUAAACUCCUAAAACUUCAUUUUCGUCAAGUUCAUAAUCGGCAUUCUGUCCAUUUACCUGAAAUAUUAUAUGUGAGCUCACACACAUUGUAUUAAGAAUAUGAAGACGUUAUAGAUAGCAAACCUUGGUUUUUGUGGCGGCUUCAGUUUCUUUUGACUUCUCAGUUUCCUGUUACAAGUUAGAAGCAUAUGAAUCUUUUUGUCAUUUACAACACGAAACAAAUAUAGAAAGUAGUUUACCUUCACAGUUUCUCCACGAAUGUUCAAAAGACCUUCAAGGUACUUCACUCUUUCUUCAAGAGACACUACCUUAUUAUUGAGGAAUUCAAUCUUUUCUUGAUCAGUUGCAUCAAUCCCAGGAACAGAAUUAUUUUCGUCCACUUCAGCUUCAGCAACGGCAAUGUCGACACUUCUAUUGAGCCAAUCUUGUCUCUUCAAACGAUAUCCUCUUUUGACAAGAUCAACAACUCUUCCAAAUUCACAGUCAACAUCUUCAACCAAGUCGCUAUGCAAUCCGGGAUCUCCAAGGAUACAUUUGACAUCAACCUGACAAGUGUUUGCAUAUGAUCAAACAAUCGGUAAAAGAAGAAUGCAAAGACUAAAACAGUUUUAUAAAACAUUAUAAACGGUUACCUUCUCCAUUUGGUCGAAUCUGUUAACCUCCUCAAUAGUAAGCGCUUUGGUUUCUUUCCAAUGCAAGCACAAGGGAAACUGAAUUCCAUCAUCGCUAAUACCAAAGAAUGUGCCUAGUUGAUUCACAGAAGAUAACGCCCAGAGCUGAAGCGCAUAUAUAAAGCCACAAAUCGCGUAUUGAUUAUUCUCCGUCAGCUUUGCAUAGGUAAAGCUCUUCACUUCUUUCAGUAAAUAAUCAAAGGCCAAAUUCCCCCAGGGAUACUUGCAAAACUCUUUGAAAUUUCUAGCUCUAAGCAGACGCUCUUCUGGAAUACUUGUCACCGGAUUGCUUGCCAUCAAUAUCCCUUCCACAAGGAUUGUAGCUCCCAAUCUUAAUCUCUGAUCAGCAGUAAGCUCUUUACUCUUUUCGACAAGAAGCUUAAGCAAGGUGUUUAGAGUUUGAUUCUUGUUCAUCCAUGGAUCUUUCUUCUUCUUUUUUGUUGCUGAAGUCUCGGCUUCAUCUUCAUCUUUAUCAACAACACACAAGGCAGACCCGUUGUCAAGUGGAAUUCUCUUAGAGAAAACCUCAUUAGUUGUUCUCCAAAAGUAAACCACAAACCCUUCUCGCCUAUAUCAAUUCUCCUUAAGAGUAAGUGAUGAAUCAAAUGCCUUGAAAACACCAUAAGCUUCUGCUUCCUUCCCAUCUUAAUUACCGGAGCCAAGAAUGAAUCUUCAAGCUUCUUGAAUUCUUUGCCCAAAAGGGUUUCAACUUUACCAACCAACUUCAGAUUGGAGCGCUUGUUAAUUCUUUGCAAUACGACUCCUUUUGUACCAGUUUCGGAGAUUCUUUUUGGCAAAGCAAUCUUGUCAUUAGACUCACUCAUCGUUUCACCUGAAACAAUUCAAAAUGGCAAUGUCAAAGAUAUGUUUUAUAAUGACUUAUAAAGGUUUUGUUUAUCAACACUUGUAAAUCAUAAUAGAUCAUUCUAAAAUCGAUUAACCACAUCAAAAACGAAAGAACUAGCAAUGAAAUAUAUCGCAAAUGACAGAGUGAGAAGAAGAAUCGCUAAGAAGAACCAAUAACAUUACCGGAGUUAAGAGAAAUCGAUGGUGAAAAGUAAGUUUUUGUAACCAAAGAAAUGUAGAACGGCGGAGUAUAAAUAGAGAUCAAAAGAUGCGCUUCAGCUCUGUAUCAGAAGAGACGCGAACGGAGGAAGGCGAUGAAAAGUCCCGACUUUUUACCCUAAUUCGUGACGGUUUUAUUUUUUUUACACUAAGGCCCAAUUUCGAUUAUCAAUGUUUAAGGCCCAAGUUUAUUUAUGGUUUAAUGCUUAGAAAACGGUUUUAUAAACUAUUAUAGAUUAACAAGCUUCUGCAAAAUAUUUAUAUGCUUUUUAAAAAAUUUUAUUAACCCUUAUAAAUUAUUAUAUAGAGAUUCAUAAGUCUUUAUUAAUUAUUGUCAAAAUUUGUAAAUCAUUUUAUACAGAUUUAUAAAUCUUUUAAAAUUGUUUAUAGGUCUUUAUAUAUUACCUUAUUUUUAAAUCUUCAUAAAACCUUAUAAGCCCUUCAAAAUAAUUGUCAAAAUUUUAUAUAGAUUUAGAAGCCCUUGUAAACUAUUUAUUGCUCUUAUAAACUACACAUAUUUGUAAGUCUUUAUAAAUUAUUUAUAGGCUUUUAUAAAUCAUAAUCUACAUUUUACCUCGUGGAAUCUCUUGAGGGUCUAUGAUUGGAGUGGCUACAUCAUCCAUCAUAUCUUCUGAUUCAUGAGGUAAUGGUAACUCCUUUCCCUACACAUCAUUAGUAAAAAUAUAUAGUUUAAAGAUAAGAAAAAGAAGCCUAUGAGAACACAUAUAUAGGUGAUAGUCUAAAACUUACAUAUAUGGUUUCAUGGUUUUGUGUUUCAGCCUCAGUGGCUUCUAAAACAGAAGUGUUUCUGUGUCUCUCGAGAGAGGAUGUGAUUUCUGUGGCAUCAUCAUUCACCUUAUCCUCUUCAUUGGAUUCUAAAACAAGUGUGAUACUAGGGCUCUCUUGAUCGGAUCUGAUUUUGGUGGCAUCAUCAUUCAACGUAUCAUCUUCAUCGGUGGCAAGUGUGUUACUAGGACUAUCUUGACCGGGUCUGAUUGGUGUGCCAGCAUUAUUUUCAAAUUCUCUCUGCAAAAAUGGUGUAGGAAGAUUUUAAAUUGCACCAAAAAUGAAUACAAAUUAUGUGUGAGAAAAUACCUCAUGUGCGCGAAUCCAACUACCACCACCUAGCCACUCCAUUGACAGCCUAAUCUCAGUAUAAUUAAAAACCGCAUCCUCUUUUGUGGCAGCGAAAUACACUUUGUAUUUGUUUUCAAGGAGAAUUUCCGUCACUCGACCUUUGCGCCACCCAUGGGUAACAACCACUUCAACAUAGUCGUUCAGACUGUACUCUGCACAAAGAUCUCGAGGAGGAGAUGGCCUUAUUUUGCAAAUAUCAACUAUUAAAUGUUUUCCUUCCGCUUCAUCACUCGAAUUUUGUGAGAUUGUACAUCUUUUGAUCAGAAAUUUUCUUCUAUCAUCUCCUUGUUUCCGAACUUCUGUAAUUACCAAUGCUCGGACCCAAAUUUUUUCCUUUUCACUUUCACUAAUUUCACGGUCAUUUCCCACCAACUUCCCUCUCGUAAACAUGUGUUGACUCAAUACCUUCAAUUCCAAAACAAUCAUAUAUAAGCUAAAGCCCUCAAACAUUCAAAAUUUUAUAACUUAAAACAUACAAAAAAAAACAAUACCUUGUUUUUGCUUUUGACCCAUUUGGAGCCGAUCCAAUCAGCAUGAGGUCUCAGUUGGCUUCUGAUGAAUCUCAUUAUGUCUGGUGGAUCAUCAAAGUAAACCAAAAACUACCAUCUGGCCUUUCAACUACGAUAACACCAGUCCACCAACCAUUAUUAAAAUAAGCAUCCACCACCGACCCUUCCUUGAAUACGACACCCUCAUUCAGACACUCUGGCGGGACUGGCCGAAUAAAACUUCUUUCAAUAGUUUCCUUCAAAGGACUUACACCAUCUUCGUUGAACAUAGUUUUGUAACUAACCCGAAGCUUUUUUCCUGUUACUCUCGUCGGAUUUUGCUCGAGGAUAGCUCUAUACCAAGAACCUCUGAACCCAUCUUCUUGAAUAGAUACUUCUACUUCACAAUCUUUGGCAAUAGACAAAAGUUUUCCUUUUUUCUUCAAAUUAUUUUUCAUCUUCCUGAGGAGGAAUCGGAAAUGCAGAUCACAAAAAAAAAUCAAGAAAAGAAAGAAACUAGGUGAAUUAAGAUCAAAUGAACGACAUGCAUCCAAGAAACUGAAACAAAUUGAGAUUUUAGAUAAAUCAAUUAGGUUCCAUACAAAAAUUCAAUUCGAUUUUGGAGUGUAUAUACAAAAGCAAAUAGGAAUUUCAAUUUGAUCUAAAUUGAAUAUAAAAAAUCAAAAGAGAAUACAGUGAAUGUUCUUGAAUUAACUUUUGCUAAAUUCGAUUCAAGUUGAAUUGGAACUGAAACUGAAACAGAUUGAGAUUUUAAGUCAAUCAAUUAGGUUUCAAACAAAAAUUCAAUUCAAUUUAGAUUGUUGAUUCAAAAAUGAAGAUGAAACUCAAUUACCUUUUGCCACGAUAAUGAUUCAAAAUGGGGAAGAUUGUUGUGUUGAUUCUUCUUCUUGAAAUUUACGGACAUAGAGAAACGAUGAAGAAAUGAUAGAAAACAAGAAAGCAAAAAAAAAACGUGUCAUAGUGAAGAAGAUGAAGACGUGUCGCGUGAGAAGAGUUAAAUUUACUGGUUUUGCCAUCCCUUUUUGGUAAAUGAUAAAAAAANNNNNNNNNNNNNNNNNNNNNNNNNNNNNNNNNNNNNNNNNNNNNNNNNNNNNNNNNNNNNNNNNNNNNNNNNNNNNNNNNNNNNNNNNNNNNNNNNNNNAACAAUCGGCGCUUUGAGUUUGUCCGUUUGUGUCGUCUGUGUCGAUCGUGAUCUGUAACAAGCCCUCAUUAGCACCCUUGGCUUCACCUUCGGUAAAACCCUUUUUCAACUUUUGCGUGUUUCAGGCUCCUUUGAUUAGUAUACUAUGAGCGGAUGAGUUAAAGGAUAGGUUAGAGAUCAUUUUACUUGAUAUUAUAUUUGGAAUUGUUAGGUGAUUAUCUUUUUUCCCGUUAUGGUUAUAUGCCUAGAUGAUUGUAAAUGUUUAAGAAAGUUUUCUAUCUUUGGUAUAAUGUUUAAACACUUUAGACGUUCCUUUGACUUUAAACGGUGUUUGUGUGUCCCCAAAAAUUUGGAUUUCUCUGGUUACUUUAUUAGUUGUUUGUUUACUUUAGCACUUUACAUCGGCUGUUCUUAUGUAGUAUUAGACUGAAGUUAUUAAAAAGAUACAGUUAUGUUCGUAUUAAUUACUCUUGUACUUACUCUUGAAGUCAUUUGGUCAUCAUUGUUCUUAAGCUAUCUGUACUUACUCUUGUUAUUAUUUUUACGUACAGCGACUACUUUGACAAGUUGGCAUCUAUUGGUCACGUUUUGUUCCCUUCAUGUGGCACUAUGGAUGAAGAUGUUUGAACACAAGCCUUUCGAUCCACGAGCUGUGAUGGGAUUUGGCAUAUUGAAUGGGAUAUCCAUUGGACUAUUGAACCUCAGCCUGGGCUUUAACUCCGUUGGUUUUUACCAGGUAAUAAAAGCUUUCUCAUUCUAGCUGCUACAUGAUGAUAUAUCCUUGCAGUCUGUGUGUUUCAAACCCCGUCUCUUCUCUCUGUUGGUAUUAGAUGACAAAGCUAGCAAUCAUCCCCUGUACUGUUCUCUGGAGACUCUCUUCUUCAGGAAAAAGUUCAGGUUAGCACUCAAAGUUCUCUCACUUGCUUUUUGUGCAUUUCUGUUAAAGAUGAGUGAUUGUUACUUUGGAGGAUACUAUCUAUGUUCUACUUUUCUAUGCUAUAACAGUUCAGCAACUUAGUGAUAGUCUUAUGUCCCUUUGUGAUGAUAAUUCGUCCUCAGAAUUUUCCAUGGCUCAACGAGUUUCUCAAGCUAGUCUCUGGUCAAAGGCAUAGUUAAUGACACGCUUCUUUGUUUUGUUGCAGCCGAAAAAUUCAGUUUUCAUUAACCAUCCUUCUUCUUGGUGUUGGAAUUGCAACCGUCACAGAUCUUCAGCUUAAUAUGCUGGGUUCUGUCUUGUCGCUGCUGGCUGUUAUCACAACCUGUGUCGCUCAAAUUGUAUCCUAUGCUUAGCCGUUCUUCUCCCAUUGCUCUUUUCUUUCAAUAAUCUUAUGCCAAUUCGAUGCUGUUAUCUUUAACCAAUUGUACACAGAUGACAAAUACCAUCCAGAAGAAGUUCAAAGUUUCAUCCACGCAGCUUCUUUAUCAGUCUUGCCCUUAUCAAGCAAUCACACUUUUCGUCACUGGACCAUUUUUAGAUGGGCUCCUAACCAACCAGAACGUGUUUGCUUUCAAGUACACUUCUCAAGUUGUGGUAAGACUCAACCUGCGAGGGAUUCUACCCAUAUUAUUUUCUUUCGACAUAUAUUUACAUGUUCUUCUUUGUUUACUGCAGUUUUUCAUCGUCCUGUCCUGCAUGAUAUCAGUCUCUGUAAACUUCAGCACUUUUCUGGUCAUUGGGAAAACGUCUCCGGUCACAUAUCAGGUUCUGGGACAUCUGAAAACAUGCCUGGUUCUAGCAUUUGGAUACGUGUUGCUGAAGGACCCAUUCAACUGGCGCAACAUUCUUGGUAUUAUGGUGGCUGUGAUAGGAAUGGUUGUUUAUUCCUAUUUCUGCUCGGUUGAGACUCAGCAGAAGGCAAGUGAAACAUCAACCCAAUUGCCUCAGGUAUAUUUCCUCUGGCUAAUAGCUAUAUAUAGCUUAAUACUAUUGAAUGCGUGACACCAAUAAAUAUAUAUCCCUGGUCCUUGUUAAAAAUAGGAUUCACCUACAUCUCUCGUAUGACUUAUACAACAGAAACCCUUUUCUCCAUGAUAAAAGAAACAAUUAGAUGAUUCACGUGAAUCAGAUUUCGUUUAUGGUACUAUUGAUUUUUCAGUAAGACUGCUAUCAGAGAAGCAAACCGUAUCCUAGGCAUUGUUUUGGUUGGUAAAGGUCUAUAGCUUACAUUGGUGGUGAACAAGAAAGAAAAAAAGAAACUGAUGUUACUUUGUUGGGUUUGGCAGAUGAAAGAGGGCGAGAAGGAUCCGUUAAUAGCAGCUGAAAAUGGAAGCGGAGUGUUAUCAGAUGGUGGUGCGGGUGUGCAAAAGACGACAGCUCCUGUAUGGAACUCAAAUAAAGAUUUUCAAGCCUAAAAAACUGAACACUGCUAUUUUUUUUCCUUAUAUAUAUAUAUAUCAAACUCUAUUUUGUUAUCAGAUUUGUCAGAAGAAAGGAAAAACUUUUUUUUAAUUCCUCUUGUUGUUUGUUUGUUUGUUUGUUCUCUUUUAAAGAUCUCAUAGCUAUAGCUUUCCACACCGUAUAUAAGUAGAGAGAAAAGGGAACAUACCUUUGAUGAUUCAAUCUAUAUUCCAAAGUUAUGGCUAUAUUCAUCAUCACUGGAAAGUGUAUUUGAUUUUCACACAUGCGCCACUCAGUUUUUCCUCACCAAUUUCUUGUUUUUUCCUCAUUCCAUAUUGACCAAGUUAAUAAAAUCAUUCAUUAUAGUAUCAUAAACAUUAAAGCACCAGUGGUCUAGUGGUAAAAUAGUACCCGGCCACGGUACAGACCUCAUGAUAUCGCCUCAUACUGAGCUCAUCUAUUCAAUUUAUAAGUUCAACUAAAUUUGAAGGAAUUGAAGUUUCCAUUAAAUUCUUCUAUUAUCCAAUUAUAUGUUUCAUAAAUUCUUUUAAAUUUGUAUUUUAAAUAAUUUUUCUAAAAUAUUUUAGAAUCUAGUGUUAUUCAGUUCAAUAAUUAUCUAAAUCUAUUAAAUAUUUGUGUUAUUCAAUUUUGGUGGAUUUCAUGAUAAUUGUAUUUGAAAAGAAUUUGAUGAAAAAUAAUAAUUAUAAAAUGUAAAGAAGCAAUUCUAAGGUUUGAGUUAGGAUUUGAAGAGAAUUCUUUAUAGCAUUUAUUUAUUAGAUAUGUAUGUCAAACUUAUUGAUAUGAUGAAUUUGGAAAUGUAAUAUUCGUUAUUAAUUUAUAUUAUCGUUUUAACGAAAUGACAAAGUAUAUCAUUUGAUGUAAUCCAUAUUAUAAAGUGGAAAAAAACUUUUUUAAUAUUAUAUAUAAUUUUAUUAUAUAAAAAUAAUUGGCUUUAUUUUUUUUUUCUAAGUAGAGUCGUUAUUUCACUUUUAAAUGACUUUGUCUGUUUAUAUAGUAUGAAAAAUGACUUUGUCUGUUAAUAUGGUAUGAAAAUAAUUAUGGUAUUAUUAUUUUAUCAGCAAAAGUUUUGUUUUUUCCCUGUGCAUUUUAUAUAAAGAUUCAAAAAAUUCAUGAAAAUUUAUAUGAAUUGUUUCCUAUCAAAUUUAAUUAUAUUUCUUUAAAAUCUAAAAUGAAAGAAUUAGACAAAUACAUUAAAAUCAUCAUCAAAUCAUUUGAAAUACUUCAAAAUCUAUCAUUUAUGUCUUCAAUUGAAUUCUUUCAAAGUCAAUUAAAUUCUUGAAUCCAAACCAACUCCUAAAAGUUUUCUUUUAAAACAAAAUUAAGAUAGCAAAAAAAAAGUAAAGUUAUGAUUGUUAUAUUCAAACUAGAAUUAGUAAUAAAAACAGAUUUACCUUUUAUCUUCCUCUACGCAUUUCUUCCAAGUCUCAUCGCCACUAGACCAACAUGCUUCCAAACAUUUUGAAAAACUUUGAAUAUUUUUCAAGCAGGCAAUAUGUUUUGUUUGUGCUUUCUUGUUGUGACCUGCUUGUGUGUGUAUAUAGUAUCACAUUGCUUGGAGAAGAUGCUUGUAUGUUUUUCUUUUUUUUUCUUUUUUUUCGUAUUUCAGCAUGAAGGGGUGCUAACACCUGUACUCAGCGCUAUUAUAGUAUUACUAGGUUAAGCUGUGAUCAUGUUGCUAACCGACUGGUUUUUUCGUUAUUGGCAAGCAGACUGUCUUUGCUUUUCCUUAAGCGGCUAAUCUGUUUUGGCCUUUUAUGAAUCCUUUGUAUAUGGAAUUCUUAGGGUUUUGGUUUGAGGAAAUGACAUUGGUCGUGUUUGGUAUGAAAUUCGGUUUGUUAUUUUAUUUAUUAACUUGGUUCGAUUUUAUUUUCAAAUUCCCAUUUAAAAAGAAUUUUUUUUACAUUUCGGUUAUUGCCAGAUUUGCUCUUAAUUAUUUUAGUUUGUUGGUUUAACCAAUAUAAAAUAACCAAAAAUAUAGCCAAUAAUGAAUGUUUUGCGGAUCAGUUUUUCCAUCCAAACUAAAUUUAAGUUGUCCACAUAAAAUUAUGGUUCGGUUUCGCUUAGUUUAAUGGUCAGGCCCUAAACCAUGGAGUCUCCACUUUUUUUUUCAAGAUUUUUUUAAUGGAUUUUUUUUUUGGUGUGGUUUUUAAUGAAAGAAGUCUUCAUCAUGGUUUCCAAACUAAACCAUGCUUGAUCGGUUUCCUUGAUCAAGCUUGAGGGGGAGUGUUGAGAUGAUAUGUACUUGUUGAGAGAAAUGCAGUGAAAUGUAUAAAGUGCAGCGUGGUGCAAUGAAGUGUAAGAAAAGAGAAACAUAUCAGGACAUGUUGGCAUAAACUCUCAAAUUCAACUAUCGAAUAAAAUCUCAUCGAAACCUGCAAAAAGUUAUUUAAUUUUGUUAGCAAUUGUACGAUAUCAAAUAAUUUAAUAUAAAAAUAAUUGGCUUUUAUUUUUUUUUUCUUAGUAGAGUCGUUAUUUCACUUUUAAAUGACUUUGUCUGUUUAUAUAGUAUGAAAAAUGACUUUGUCU